Molecule: ribosomal RNA, 756 nt
Filed under: Panstrongylus geniculatus
Lineage: Eukaryota; Metazoa; Arthropoda; Insecta; Hemiptera; Reduviidae
Description: SSU rRNA
Rfam family: Eukaryotic small subunit ribosomal RNA
Source: RNAcentral
AAAAAUAACGAUACGGGACUCUAUUGAGGCCCCGUAAUCGGAAUGAGUACACUUUAAAUCCUUUAACAAGGAUCCAUUGGAGGGCAAGUCUGGUGCCAGCAGCCGCGGUAAUUCCAGCUCCAAUAGCGUAUAUUAAAGUUGUUGCGGUUAAAAAGCUCGUAGUUGGUUCUGCGUGCCGCGCUGUCGGUUCGCCGCCUGUCGGUGUAACUGGCAUGUCGCGGCAUGUCCUGUCGGUGGUGAACGGAGUCCACAAUGCUACAUAGGCUUUAUAGCCGAUGUUAGCGUCGUGUGUACUUCCGUUGGCCGAUCUCUCCUACUUCGGUGCUCUUAAACGAGUGUCGAGGUAGGCCGACACGUUCACUUUGAACAAAUUAGAGUGCUUAAAGCAGGCUGAAAUAUCUGCCUGAAUAGUGGUGCAUGGAAUGAUAAAACAGGACCUCGGUUCUAUUUUGUUGGUUUUAGGAAUAUGAGGUAAUGAUCAAUGUGGACUGGCGGGGGCAUUCGUAUUGCGACGUUAGAGGUGAAAUUCUUGGAUCGUCGCAAGACGCACUAGAGCGAAAGCAUUUGCCAAGUAUGUCUUAAUUGAUCAAGAACGAAAGUUAGAGGUUCGAAGGCGAUCAGAUACCGCCCUAGUUCUAACCAUAAACGAUGCCAGCCAGCGAUCCGCCGAUGUUCCUUUAAUGACUCGGCGGGGAGCUUCCACCCGGGAAACCAAAGCUUUUGGGUUCCGGGGGAAGUAUGGUUGCAAAGCUGAAA